This is a non-coding RNA of Triticum urartu, 2503 nucleotides long. Lineage: Eukaryota; Viridiplantae; Streptophyta; Magnoliopsida; Poales; Poaceae. The record is from RefSeq and is a predicted model, not a curated record.
UAUCUCUCUGUCCUCUCUCCCUUAUCUGUUUCUCUUCCGAUCUGAGCGGCGGCGGCGACGCUCGCAUCCGGCGACGGUUCCACCACUCCGCCCAUCUCUUCCUCCCACCACUCCGUCCAUCUCUUCCUCCCACCACUCCAUCACCAUCCCCACAUCGCUACUGAUUUCCCAUGUUGAGGUGGUCCUGCGGCGCCGAUGCCCUCACCCAGCUGCCGGUGGCGGCGCUUUUUGUUCGUGCCCAAGCGCUCGGUGAGGUCACCUCUCACCUCCCUCCUAUGGUGCCACCGCCCCAAGCCCCCAACCCAUACGCAGCUCCCUCUUCCCCACUCCCAUUGUUGCAGAUCUGAGCGGGACAAGGUCCCUUCGGCCCUGGUGGUUCGGAACGAGGUGUGCGGCCUCUGCUCCCUUAACUUCUGGAGACUAGGGGCGCGGUGGCUGGUGCCCCAUCUCUCUUAGCCAUCCACAGCGGCAACAACAUCAGGUCAAACAAACUUUCAUAGGUUUGGUGGAUGUUUGGGCAAUUACUCAACUACUAACAAAAGGCCACUGGAUGAUUUUUAUACCUGCAUCACAUCAAGUGGAUUUGGAUAGCACACAAGCUGGCAUGGUCUUCAUCGUGGAUUCAAUCUCCACACGAGUGGAGUGGCCUCUGCCUUGUGCCGCAGCUGCGGACGGGCAGAGGAGACGACGACGUAGGGCACACGGAGCUAGCAACCCUAGAAGCCAUGAUGCCCGCGAACAAAAUUACCUGAAGGAUAGGAAACAGACUACCUGAUCUCACGGAUGCAUGUAGUCUUUUUUUUCUGAUGCGUACAACAAGCGAUCAGGGCAUCAAGGGAUGCUUUCUCACAUUGGGCGUUUGGGCUGGAAAAUUCGUGAUAGGCCAUUAGUGUCAAACACUAAAAGAAACCAGGUUUGCACUUUACGUAUACGUACAGUUCAUAUCAGUACCAGGUAACGAAAACUCAUAGGGGGGCGAGGCGAUGGGGGGUGUCUGACCCCUGCUCGCACCCCCCGCCUCCGCCUCUGACCUAGACUUGAUUAUUGUUUUAUCAUUGUGGUAGGUGACUAGCUAAAAUAAAUUUUGCAUAAUAAAUAUUAGCCAUUAAAGAUGACCAGCUCCAUGAUUAAUAAGUGAGGCUGCUUACUUUGUUAAGUUUGAGGAUUGGUAAUAAAAUAGGUACUUAUCCUGGAACCACUAAAAUCCAAGAUACAUGAUUUUGGUGGUUCCAGGGUAAGUACCUAUUUUGUUAUUUCAGCAUUAUACAUGAUUAAUGCUUUGAAGGUAAGUGUAAUAAACACAUGAUUGCUGUACAUGAAUCCAUGAUUAUUUUCUUUGGGAGAUACUAUAUUUUUCUUUGUAAGUGUAAUGAUUACAUCCAUUUAUGUGCAAUAACAUUGCAGAAUAUUCGAUAGAGAACUCAGCAAUCAAACCUACGUACAUGUUAACAUGUGAGGGUGCAACCGAAUAGCUGUACAUGAAUCUGGAACAAGAGGAAGAACCGAGGAUUCUUCAAGAAGCUGCUUCUAUUCGUGCACAACGGCGUCGUAGUCAGGGUUCAAUUGACACAUGGUGUGUAAGCAUUUGCCUAUCUACCUAAAGGGUAUGCUGGAGGGUUGCCAACAUCAAUGUGCUAUGUGCUGCAGAAAUGGAUUUUCAAAAACCUCUAGCACAUGGUGUCCUAGGAAUUCCUGGAUAUGUCGACCUGCUAGCUCAUUAUCAGGUUUUGAUGCAUCUAUUAAUCAUAUGAUAAAAGAACCAGAACAUGGAUAAAUUUUGUAUAGUGUAGUUGUAGUAUCUAGCUUGGCUGCUUUUAGAGGUCUGAGCUAUAGAAGUUACCGCGGUAAAUAAAGUCUAAAGUAUUCUGUAAACGCCUACAUAUUUUUGCCCCAUUAUGUUUAAUCUUUGGUGAGAAAUACAAUUACGCUCCAUAAAAUGAGCUAAUGUCGGAGAAGGUCGCUCUCAGUUUUAGUUUAAAACCAUUCGUUAUGUUGCCAACUACUUUCUAAAUUUUAAUGCGGUCACAGUAAAGUCAUCUAAUGGACAGCUCCUUGUAUAAUUUAACUUGUUGAUAUUCACAGAAGCCUUCUUGUUAUCAAUGAAUAUAGUGUUCUAGAAAUAAGGACACUUUAACUAGUGCUUAGUAUGCCCAUUUACAUGGUUACCUAAACUUGAAUGGAGUGCCUUUCUUAGUAGGUGUUUGGUACUAGCUUGCCUUGUGAAGUAAUAGUUGUUCUCAAUGCUAUGCUUUAUACAAAUUUUUAUGGUGCCAUUGUCUUUAUGAAUGUAAUCACAACUUUACAUUAUGUAGGAAAAAUAGGCAAGGAGACGAGGAAACAUGAAGACGGUGGUUUGUGUAAAUGGGAUAUUUUGUGUAAUGGUGACUGAAUCGUUGGAGAUGCACUUUAUAUAUCAUUUUGUAAACUCGCUGACAAAAUGAACCAUAUUGUAAUGGAUGAAGUAUUUACAUCUGAAAUUAAUUAAUGUGUUAUUGUUUGGUUA